UGUUCAGCCCAUUCCUGUUCAACCCAACACCCCUGUAAUCAAAUUCCCACCACCUGAGGCUCUCAAAAGUAAGCACCAUACAUACACAGUACAUAAACAUAACUUUUCUUUUUCUUUUUCUUUUUUGUAAGCAAUUAUUAGUACAACUUAAUUAAUUCAUUUACCUCACAAUACGUAAUCCUUGUGUUUUUCCAGGAGACAAGUUCAAUUGGCUUAGUGACAGUGAAUUUGCAAGACAAACAAUUGCGGGUCUUAAUCCCUAUUGUAUACAGUUGGUCAAGGUGACUGAUAGACUGACAAUAAUCAAUAAAUAUAUAUCAAACUACCCUUACCCACUAGCUUUAAUUCAGACUACGUCAAAUAUUAGUGAUUUACUACAGAUAUUUCUAACCUGUUUCUAUAGUAUAUAUGAAAUUAUAGCUUAAUUGUUUUGUAUGAAUAAAUUCAGAGUUGGCCUUUGAAGAGUGAGCUGGACCCUGUGGAAUACGGUCCUCAAGAAUCAGCAUUCACCACGGAAUUGGUUCAAAAAUUAAUAGGAAGUUCCAUCACAGUUGAAGAGGCUAUAGCGCAAAAGAAAUUGUUCGUAUUGGAUUACCAUGAUACUUUGAUGCAAUAUGUAGAGAAAGUAAGAAGCAUUAAGCGGACCACACUCUAUGGAUCAAGAACCUUGUUCUUCCUGGAGUAUGAUGACACUUUGACUCCCAUGGGUAUUGAGCUAACUCGGCCACCAAUGGAUGGAAAGCCCCAAUGGAAACAAGUUUUCUCACCAAGCACUCAAGGAACAAAUGCUUGGCUAUGGAGGCUUGCUAAAGCCCAUGUUCUUGCUCAUGAUUCUUGUGUUCAUCAACUCAUUAUUCAUUGGUACGUACCUAUAUAUAUAUAUAUAUAUAUAUAUAUAUAUAUAUAUAUAUAUAUUUUGCUUAAAAGAAAAACAAUUUUUGAUAUCACCUUGUUUGUGGGUAGUAUAUAUUAAUUAAUUAUAUAUCUAUAUAUGCAGGCUUAGAACUCACUGUUGCAUGGAGCCAUAUGCAAUCGCCUUAAAUAGACAAUUGAGUACUAUGCACCCAAUUUAUAGAUUAUUGCAUCCUCAUUUCCGAUUCAAUAUGCGUAUCAACGCAAAUGCUCGUGAAUCUCUAAACAAUGCCGGAGGCAUCAUUGAAAGCACAUUCUCUGUCGGAGCUUAUUCCAUGGAAUUUAGUUCUUUGGUGUAUAAGAAGGAGUGGCAAUUUGACACACAAGCACUCCCUGAGGACUUAAUUCGCAGGUAAUUUUCAAGACGUACAACUUUUGAUUUGAAAUUAAUAAAAUUAAAUUUGAGCAGUCUUGGCUAGACCAAAUAUAAUUAUGCAUGCUAAUAAUUAUUAGUGAUAAAAUUUAAAAUUAUUAGGGGAAUGGCGGAAAGAGAUGCAAGUGCACCACAUGGUCUGAAGUUGGCCAUCAAAGACUACCCUUUCGCCAAUGAUGGUUUAAUCCUAUGGGAGGUCCUAGUGGAAUGGAUCUCAGAAUAUGUGAACCACUAUUACCCAGAUGAGAAAGCAAUAAAGAACGAUAAAGAGUUGAAAGCUUGGUGGAAAGAAAUCAUGGAAAAGGGACAUCCAGAUAAAAAGAAGGAAGCAGGAUGGCCCUCACUGAAAACCCCCAAAGACCUAAUUCAGAUUGUGUCAACAAUAGCAUGGGUAGGAUGUGGGCACCACUCCGCUGUCAACUUCAUUCAAUAUGCACAUGCUGGCUAUUUUCCUAACCGACCCAGUAUUACAAGGACAAACAUGCCCACAGAGGACUAUGACCAAAUUCCAGAAGCGUUUAUAAACAAUCCUGAAAGUGUGAUACUUGAGGCCUUCCCUUCAAUAGCUCAGGCUUCUGCAGUGGCACAAACUAUGUUGAUAUUGUCAGCACAUUCUCCAGAUGAGGAGUAUAUUGGGAAGAAGAUAGAGCCAGCAUGGGCUGAGGACCCCAUGAUAGCCAAAGCCUUUGACAAAUUUAAAAUGAAGUUGGAUGAACUAGAAAAGACAAUUGACCAAAGGAAUGAGAACAAUGAAUUAAAGAAUAGGCGCGGAGCUGGGCUUGUGCCUUAUGAGGUUCUUAAACCAACUUCAGGUUAUGGGGUCACAGGAAAGGGAGUUCCAUACAGUGUUUCCACUUGAACCACAUGAUCCUCUCUGUCUUCCAGUUUUUGCCUUUCAUUUGGAAUAAUAAGGCGCAAAUGCAAUUUGUUUUUCACUUCUUCGAUUUCCUUGUCUUUUACAGCCUUCUGCUUUUUUUUUUUUUCUUAUUGGGGAACAAUAAGAUAUGUAAUUUUCGUUUUGUACGUCAGUGUCAGUGUCUUUGCCUCGUGCACAUGGCUUUAUUAGAAUAAUUUAAAUACCAAGUAAUUUAUCUAUCCAUUACAUUAUUUCAUUUUUCUUCACACCAAAUUGAUCUUUAAAGUAAAAUAGAAGAUUUAGAAUAUAGAUUGGUAACUGAGUCUCUAAGAAUUUAUGUAGACGUUUUUAAAAAUACAAGUUGCAAAAUUUCUGGAUUUUAUCGAUGAUAGUCAGUGAUAGACUUCUAUCAUUGGCUAUCAAUACCACUGAUAGAAGAAUAUUACUAGUUAUCAAAUGUUUGUUAUUGAUAAAAUCUUAAAAUUAAUCAUAACCUUGUAAAUAUUUUGUCAAAUUUGCUAUUUUUAAUAAUUUCUCAUAUAUAUACGUAUAUGUAUAACAUAACAGAAUUGAUUCAAAUGUCUAUUAUCCCACCCAUUGUCAAACUCUAUUUCAAAAAUAAUAAAAGUUUAGAAGAGUUGUGUGAGAUUUUUUUUUUAUAAAAAAAGAUACAAUUACAUCAGUAGGUACAAUGGAACAUCUCCACUAGAUGGACCCCUAUAUCACCUUCAUUAUCCCUGCUUCAUCGAUAUGUAACAAGAAAGUACAAGGCGAAAAUAAAAAUGGCUAGAGAGAAGCCCAAACAACUCAACAAUACAAGUCUAGACAAAACAUUAAGAUUUAAAGCAAUGGUUUCAACCGAAUAACUUGAGACUGUGUGAGAUUUUCAACAAGGUUAUAGAAAAUUUCCACAACGAUACAUGGAAAUUCCUUCAAAAAAAAAAAAAGAAACGUUAUACUAAAUGCACUUUAAGAUGUGUGGAAGUAUUUUAGAGAGACAUUUAAUUUGUUUGAAAACUAUUUUGAUUUUUGUUUUUGUUUAUUAGAAUUAUUAAACCUAUAAAACUAUUUCUACCCACACAACUUUCUACCUUUGUUAUAUCUGUUGGAAUAAGUGGUUAUGAUCAUUCAUGAAUGAAUUCUUCAUGAAUGCAUACAUCAUUUCAUGAAAAGUGUUAUUAACCAAAGGAUAUGACUUUUCGAUUAGCCACGAAAAAUUUAUAAAUAAGUCUUUUUGGUUCAGAGAAAAAAGACAUCAAAAUCAUUUGUCUUCUAGAAACAAAUUUCUCUCCGUAUCCACAAUUUUGACGUUUGGUAAAUUCACAAGGUUUCGUUCGUAGAUCUUCUAUACGGGGUGCUACAUUUAGAAGAAAAUUGAUAUGUUCUAUCCUGAGAGGCAAUUACUUCAAAUACUCAAGCACUAAGGUGACUAAAUUUGUCUUAAGGAGACAACGUGAAUUCGUUGGACUCAGAUCUAUAUUUAAGUAUGAUUUUUUAUUCAUUGUGAUAAUAAUCUUCGUGACAUUUUGAUAAUCUGUAUAACAAUCUUAAGACAAUUUUUCUUUUACAAAUGUUUAUGCGUGAUUAAUUUCAAACGAAACAUAAUGUAUUUAGAUUUAUUCAUAAUGGAUUUUCUUCAUCGUUUUGUAGUCACGGUUGCUUUUACAUACUUUAUGUAUUUCUUCAAUUAACAAGAUUAAUUUCUGCAUUUGAAGUUCUAUUUUUUUUUAAAGAUUAUCAAGCAUCUUUAAAAUCAUAUUUGGAUAACAAUUUUUUUAUACAGGCUAUUUUAUGUUUAUAUGUAAUAAGAAUUAAAAAAAAAAAAAAAUCCUUCACAGCAGCAGUGUAUAAAGAUUACUUAUCCAUUUAUUGUUUUAAUCUUUACUUUGUUCGAUUUUUUUUUUUUCCUUUCACUGCCUUAGUUUAUUCCACACACAUAUAUAUUAGUUUGUUUUAUAUAUACAUAUUGUUUAAUUUUUGUUUAUUCAAGUAUCGCAGUAAGCCUAUUAACUUGAAUGUGUUAAAAAAAAGUUUUAUUCAAGUAUUACAGUAAGGAAAUUAACUUGAGUGUUUUUCAAUAUAUAUAUUUUUCUGGAUUAGUUUGUAUAUGAGAAUUCAUCUUUAAUUAUUUGUUUAAAAUUUAUUUGUUUUGAAAAUAUGACUUCAACAAACUUUAAUUCAGUUCCUGUAACUAGUGUUGUCCAUGGAGAGAAACCUGAAAAUUUUGGUGGUGUUGAUUUCAAAUGUUGGCAACAAAAAAUGUUGUUCUAUCUCACCACUUUAAAUUUGGCAAAAUUUCUCACAGAGGAUGCUCCUAUUUUACUUGAGGGAGAAACUGACAAAAUUGAUGCAUGGAAACAUGCAGAAUAUCUUUGCAAAAAUUAUAUUUUGAAUGAGUAGGACAACACACUGUACAAUGUAUAUUAGUAGUGUUGAUUCGGCUAAAAAUCUAUGGACUUCGUUAGAGAAGAAGUACAAAACUGAAGUUGCUGGUGCAAAGAAAUUUAUCGUUAGAAAAUUUUUGGAUUACAAAAUGGUGGACUCCAAAACUGUAAUCAGUCAGGUUCAGAAAAAUCCAGUUAAUUCUACCUGAUAUAUAAAUACUGAAAAUAUGACUUUGAGUGAGUCUUUUGAGUGAGUCCUUUCGAUUAUUCUCUUCAAUCCCAAGUCGGACCACAAGUUCCUCAAGAUUUAUCGUUUAUGCUUGAGAUGAUUUUUGAAGUCCUUCCAUGAGGGUGACAAUUUUGCAUGAAAAUCCCGUGCAUUUUUAAAGUGAUCCCAUUGUGCCGUGGAUCCAAAACACAAAGAUCUGUUUAGGUUAUUAUAGCCAAACGUGAAUGUAAGAGUGAGAUUUACAUUUCUUGAGAGAGGUUGAAUUAUUAUAACUUCGUAACAUUACUUUUGUAGGAUGUAAGAGUGAGAUUUACAUUUCCAACCACCCAACCCACUAUUUUUCUAGCAUUUUAGAGGGAACCCUAAAUGUGUAGGCUUUGUUCCAAGCGCCCAAUUCUGUUACUUCCACUUGUUGUUUUUCUAGUAUAUUUCAUUAUUUCUCUACAUUAUUAUAACUCAUGACAUUUGUUUUGAUAAUGUAUUCUCAUUCAUAUCUACUAAUUUUAUGAGUUAAUUUUUUUGUAAGGGAUUAUUCAAUCUAGUAGGAUACCGUAAGAAUAUAUAUAACAUGGCUUAGUUAAUGCAUGCAAUUGAUCAAAUUAGUUACUGCAUCUCGCUCUCACUUUCUAUUUUUUAUUUUGAACUAAUGACUUCAAUUAGAGUGUUAGUUGAUGUUUAAUGAUGGAGAAAGUAAAAAUAUAUAUAAAUCUCACUAAGGAACACAUAUAUAGAAAGUCACAUGAUCCAGAUACAAGAGGUACACGUAGAACCCACAAGUGAUUGCAUGAAACUAUGUGAGAUCUAAUUAAGCUAUAUGAACAAAGGAUUAUUAAUGUAAAACAGAAUGAAUUCCAACAUAAGAGCAUAAGUAUUACACUUUUUUUUUAACUACUCACCAUUUGUAACCACCUAUAAAUAUGUAUAGUUGCAUUCUAACAAAGUAGUCUAUAUACAUAUAUAUUUCUCAUCUCCAAGAAAAAUAAGACAGAAAAUGAGAGAUUUUUGUAUACUCAACUUCAUAAAUAAGAAAAGUUCCUUCUCGUGGACGUGGGCUUCAACUUGCCCGAACCACGUAAAUUUGUGUAUUAUCUCCUCUCAUCUCCCUCAUCUUCAUACUGGUGUAUGUGCAUAUAUCAUCUACUUGCCCAAAACCAUAAAAAGCUUUCAUUAGGAUUUGAAUAACAGAGAGAAAACGAAGAAGAAGGAGAACUAAAAAGAAAAGGUUCUAUUAUUCUCCUCCAAGCUUUCUUGAUCAUCCUGCAAAACAUUGAGGCCCAAUUAACCAAAACAUAUAAUUAGGCCUAACAAAUAACUUAGGCUUUUAAAGGGCAUACUUGAGUACAAGGCUAAAUAGGAGUUGUUCUUAACUCAUGCAAUUGUGACAUUUGUGAUUGAUAGCUUAAUUAAGGCCGUUUGUAUUUAUGGGUUGAAACUUGACUUAACUUCUUGUUUGCUAUUAUUGUUUAUCUUCAUUAUUUGCAACAACCUCUGAAUUACCACUUCUUUUAUUGGUUACUAUUUGAGUGACCAUAAAAAAAAUCUUUCAAAUCGGACAAUGAUCCUUAGAUCACAUUCAAUAGUAUAUUCAUUCACACUUUUUAGAAUCACACAAUAGAAAAUCAAUAAAGCUCACACUUCUUAUAAAACAGUUGAGUUAUUUCUCUCGUUCUCAAUCAAUUGAUUUUGAACCCCAUUAAAAAGAAUUUUAAAAUCCAAAUUUUCUAUCGGUCAUUGAACUAUAUUUGAUUUAACUCAUGUAUUUUAGUUUAAAGUUAAGAUAUCUUUGAUCUUUAAACUUUCUUCGAAGUAACAAUUUCGUCCUUAUAAUUUUUUUUCAUUUUUACGUUAAUUUCUCUAAAAGAAAUUAAACAUUUUCCAAAUUAAAAAAAACAAAAUAAAGUAGAUAAUCAAAACAAAAGAAAGCCUUUUUCUUUCUUUCUAGAAGCUAAUUAGCUAAAAAUAAAAAUAAAAAGAAAUAAACAGAAAAUAAAUUAGUAAUAUAAUUAACUAAUAAAUAACCCAUAAGGCUUAUAAAAAAUUUAAAAAACUCAAGUUGAAUAAUUUGAAAUACAUCCAUUAAAAGGGAAAAUAGUCAACAAUGCAAAUUAAUAACUUAUUGGAGAAGUAAUUAUUGUAUGACUAUGAGAAUCGAAAAUAUAUUUGUAGAAGAGAUCAUUUAAAGAAAUAGUUAUGGUUCUUAAAGAUUGGAUGGGUGUGGUUGGCUGUUCAUACUCACCGCCCACCUAAUCAAAUUCAACACAUAUCGCCAAGAAACCAAAGAGAGAGGGAGGCCAUCAACCACGAACUUAAGAGCAUAUCUAUACAGUAUGGAAUAAUCGACCAAGUGUGGGAAUUCAAUUAUGGUGAUUAAUGAUAUCACCCAGAUGGAGACUUCAAAUCUUUCCAUCUCAAUUAUUGUACUAAAACACAAAUAACUCCAAAUAUAAAACUUACAUUCAAAAAAUAAUUAAUUAUACAAUAAUAUUUUUAAAAAAUUGUAAAUAUAACAAAAUCUGUCAAAAUCUAUGCUUAAUUAUUAUUUCUAAAAUUGCUACCAGUUAUAAUUACUCUUAAAAAAAGUGAUAAUGAUAUAAAUAUAACUAUGGAAAAUUGCAUUAGUUAACAAAAAAAUCUAGAAAAAAAAAUACUUCAUAGCAUUUUUAUUAAAAUAUUAUCUCUUUUAAAUUUGUUACUUUUGUAAUUUAUAAAAUGGAGUGAUAUGCGCCUUUUUAUCAUAAUUUUUUUUUAUUGCUAUUUUUGUCAACGUCCCUAUGAUUAAUAUAGAUAAUAAUAAUUAAAAAUGAUCGAAUUUUAAUUAAAUGUGUAAAAUGUAUUUUUUUUUUCCGUUUAAUUAAGUGUGAAUAUAUGGAUAAAAUAGAAAAAGAAGUGUUGUGAUGUAAGUGAGGAAAACGUUAAAAUGAGAGUAGAUAGAAAAGAAAAAGAAAGACCAAAGAAAAGAGAGAGAGAUUUAUAAGUCAAUUAUGUAGAAAAUUAUUAGUCUUUUCUUAAUAAUAUAACAUUUGUGAAUGAAAAGUUUAAAACUUCAAACUUCCACACCAAUAUUAUUUAACAGAUUCACAUAAAUCAAUUAGGCUUUCCAUUUCAUUUAAAAGAAAGAUAGGAUUAUAUACAUCACAUCAAUUCUCAAAUAACUUUAUAAUUAUAUUUUAAAUAAUUAUACGACUUCAUAUCCUCUCUAAAACUAUUUUAAGAAUUUUUCACUAAAAAUAAUAUAAAAAAUUGACAAACUAUUUACUCUACAAAACAAAACUACAUUUUUUACAAUUUUUUUUUUAAAUUUUAAAUAUCAUAUAAUUAUUUUUUUAAAAAUCAAACGUAAAAGACUUUUAAAACCUUAUACCUAUUUUUUAAAACUGAUCAAGUAAAAUGGUACAUUAUGAAAACUCGAGAACCAAAUAAAUCUAUUGUUAUAAAACUUGAUAAAAAUCAUUUUUAAAACUUAAUGACCAAAAGCACAUAUUCAUCAAAACUUGGAGACUAGAAUUGUAGUUUUUCAUAACUUUAGUUAUAGAUAGUGUAACAUAUUUGUACAUUUGAUCAAAUUAUCUAAUCAUAAUUUAUCACGUGAUAAACUUUUUAGGUGAGAUCCUCCCAUUAUUGGUUAAAAAAGUUUAUCAUUUAUCAUUUAAUUAAAAGUUAUUGGCAGGUAGAUAAAGAUUGGUGGGGACUAACCAAUUAUAAACAAAUGGUUAAUCAAUAUAAUGUAUUCUAAGUGAAACGACCUCGUAUAAAUAUCUUGUUUAUAGCGUACGUGUCAAUCACGUGUUUGCUUCAAUUUAGAGAACGUUAUUUAAUGAAUUCAAUAAUAUAUAAUAUAAAGUAAUCUCAAAUAUCUAUGACUUCAAUGUUGGUUUUAUACUAUGUCAACUUUUUAAAUUCAUUAUAAUACUACAAGUUUAAGGAUGAAAUUAAUAAUUUUGUCUUCUAAAUUUUUAUUAUUUUUGAAAUAGAGUUUGACAAUAUUGGUUUGGGAAAAUAGCCAUUAUUUGAAACAAUGGUGUUGUGUUAUACAUACACGUAUAUAAAUGAGAAAUUAUAAAAAAAAAAAAAUAGAAAAUUUGACAAAAUAUCUAUAAGUUAUAGCAAAUUUUCAGAUUCUAUCAAUAACAAAUAUUUGAUAACUAGUAAUAUUUUUCUAUCCGUGGUAUUGAUAGCCAAUGAUUAUUACUAACUAUCAUUGUUAGAAUUAAAAAAUUUUGGUAUAACUUGUAAAUAUUUUAAUUUUUUUUCUAUUUUUAAAACUGUCACUUUAUAUAUAUAUAUAUAUUAGAGAAGAUUUCCACAACAAUACUUGUAAAUUCCUUAAAAGAAAAUUGGAAAACUGCACUUUAAGAUGUAUGGAGGUAUUUUAAAGAGACAUUUAAUUUGUAGAUUUUUUAUUUUGUUUAUUAUAUUUAUUAAACCUAUAAAACUAUUUCUACUCCCACAACUUUCUUCCUUUGUUAUAUCUACUUUUUAUACAUAUCAUGAUCAAAGGGAUAUAUAUAUAUAUACACCAAUAAUGAUCAAAAAGUGUACUAAAUAAAGUUAUCACCUAUAUAUAUAUAUAUACACAUAAUUGUGGUGGGUGUGUUUAUAUAUAUACACAUCAACUAUCAUAAAAACGAUUGUCAUAAAAAAGGCAAUCACUCAUUAUUGUGGUAUAUAUAUAUACCAAUUAUCAUCAAAAUUAAGGCCAAUCACACAUGAGAUUGGGGUCCUUAUUAAAUAAUUUUUUUGUCACACCUUUUCUUAAAUCCUUAGUUUUUUUCAUUUUUUUUUUUACUACAUUCUCAAUCACAAAACUUUUUUCUUUUCAUGAAACACACAACAAAUAAAUACAAUUAACAUGCAUCCUUGGGUUAUAAGUAAAGAAAAUCACACAAGUAAUCACAUACUUUUUUUUUUUUUUACCUAUAUAGUAAAAAGAAAUCAAAUUAGUUUCAUAUUAAAAAAUAAAUCUAGCAUAUGAAAAAUAUCCCUAAGUUUAGAUAGAGAUGGGGCAUUUUUCCUUGAAAGAAACAUGUAAUUGUAAUAUAUAUCUGUUUGAAAUAAAUUUAAAUGAAAAGGUAGAGAUGGGAAAGGGUUUACGAGUUAUUUCUUGGAAAGAGAAGGGUCCCAAGGCCAGCUUGGCUUUCCAUUUCAAACAUAAAUAAAAUAAAAUAAAACCUUAAAAAAAUAAUUAAUAUAAUAAUUUAUUUUUUAAUAUCAUUAUCAUACUAUUGGAUGAUGACACAAUCUUAUCCACAUAAUCAAAUAAAUAAAAACAUGAUUAAAAUACCAUUUGACCAAAUUUAUUUCAUUUUAGCCAUCUUAAAAAUUUAGUCACUUAAUAUUAAAUUUUGUUUUAAUCAACUUAAUAAUAUUAUCUGUAUGCACUAAAAAAUUGUAGUAAAUAAACUGAAAUAUUAAUAAAUAUAAUAAGAUAUAUACUUUUAUUGUGUCUAUUUGUAUUAUGAGAGGUUGAUAUAUAUGAUAGUUUAUGUUAAUAUAUAGUAGUAUAUUAUAGAUAGAUUGUGAUAUUUUACUAUGUUUUUAAAUAUUUUAAAUGAUAUUAUUAAAAAAUUACGAAAUAUGUAAAUGUAUUUUUAAAAUGGAUAAAAAUGAAGGGUGAAGUAAGGUAUAGAAAAUUAAAAUUAGAUAAGCAAAAGUAUAUGUACUAAAAAUGAAAAAGGUUGUAAAAUAUAUAGGAAAGAGUAAGAGGCAAAUGAUUGUUUAAUCAAUUUGUAAAGUUUGAAUCAUUCGUACGUGCAUGUGAAACCCAAAAGGUUCGAGAGACAAAUUUUCUCUCCUUUAUUUUAUCUAUUAUUAUUUUAGUUUGCCAAUAGCUUCAUCUUGAAAUUAGAUAACGAUAUAUAUAUAUAUAUAUAUAUAUUGAGAUUGAUAACUAUAUAGUUAUAGAGAAUGAUUCUCCAAUAAAUAAAUAUAUAUAUAUAUAUAUAUAUAAUUAUUAUUAUUAUUAUUAUAGUUUUCUAAUCUUAAAAAUUGUUUUAUUAGAUUCUAAAAAAGCCAUCGAUGAGGGACCCAAUCCCCACUUGUAAUGAAUUAUGAAUUAGAGUAUUUUCAAGGAAAAUUUUAAAUAUAACAUGUAAUAUAUAAAUUGAAACUAUUUAAAAAUUAUAGAAAAAUUAUUAAAUUAAUUAUAACCUAUUUGAAAUUUUUAUCGUAGUUUUGAUAUUUUUUUGUUAUUUCCUCGUUUAAAAAUAAUCGAUAAUUAUAAUAAGUAGCAACUUUAUCAAUAAUAAUUAAGCAUAUAACAACAUUUUACAAAAUUACAAAUAUAGCAAAGUUUAUAUAUGAUAGACUUCUAUUAUUGAUAGAUUCGAUCUAGUGGUUUAUUAAUGAUAGAUCAAUAUUUGUAACAUGGUAUAUCAACAAUCGACUUUCAUCAAUGAUAGAUUUUGACAGACUUUGUUAUCGUGCAAUUUUUUUAAAUGUGUUUGAAAAUUUUACAAAAUAUUUACAAGUUAUAGCAAAAUUUUGUUGUUGAUAGUUAUUGAUAUGCUACAGUGAUAGAAGUCUAUCACUAAUAUAAUAUAAAAUCUUGCUAUACCUUGUAAAUAUUUUAAUUUAUUUUAUUAUUUUUAAAAAUACUGUACGUUGAUAUACGUUAGUUUAUAUUUUUAAUCUAAUUGGCAUUUAUCCUUAUUAUUUACAAAUACCAUAUAGAAGUUGAGGAAGUAUUAUUCACUUUUCAAUUUAAAAUUAUACCUUUUCUUUGCGAGAUUUUUCCGGGAGAAAUUUGUAUUUAUUUUAAUAUGUUUGAAUCGAUAUAUUGUACAAUGAGUAUAUGAUACCCUGUUUAUUCUAAAAUAUUGGAAAUGUCACUUGUCAACAAUUUUAAAUCCUCUUAUUAUUUUCGAGAAUUUUCAUACAUUAUCUUUUUUUAUACUUUUUUCCCAUUAUUUGUUCAAUUAUAUAGGUUUUUUUUGGAGAAAUAUAUAUUCCUUUCACAUCCAUCAUAUACAAAUGAAUUCUGAUUUUUAUAAAACAAAAGGUCAUAAAAUAUAAACGAUUAUGUAGAGAAAAAUAACCCAUAAAAAUAACGUAAGUUAUAUUAAUUAAAAAAGAAAGUCAAAUUACUAAAAGCAAAUAUAUUUAUACAAAUUAAUGAAAAUUUCUUAGAAAAGACCACCAUAAUUCAAAAUUUAAAAAUAAGUAUAACACAACAAACUAAAAUAUUUAUAAAAAUAUAACAAUUUUUUAUAUCUACUAUAUUGUUAUUAUUAUUAUUUUAAAACUCUUGUAAAAAUAGGAAAAAAAAAUUAACGGUAAUAUGAUUCAUAUCACUACAUUUUAUAAAUUACUAAAACAGCAGAUUUAAAAGCUUAUAAUUCUAUGAUUAUCGUCUAAUAGUUAUCUGAUAUCACUAAUUCUAUCAUAUUUCCGUUAAAAAAGUUGUUUUUUUCCAAAAUGUUUUGUUAUUUGGAUGAAAUUUUCCAUUAUUUUAUUAUCAACAAGCACAUGAGAGAAUGAGAGAAUGUGAAAUGGAGAAAUUGAUUAUAAUUGUUUGUCAGUUAUCGGAAUUUGUAGUCAUUAGCUUUCUUAUUCUAUAAUAUAUAAUCUAUUUCUUCUAAAACCAAAUCCAAUUAAUAUUUCCCAUUCCACACUCUCCUUCUCUUAGUUAUAAAUUCAAUGAUUUAUAGUUUUUCCAUACCUUCCAACUCGGAUGAACAUAUGGGAUUUAACAUUUCAUAUAGUAAAUUGAUUUAUUUAAUAUUUUGUUUAGUAAGUUUUGUUCAAGUUCUUCAACCACCACAUGCACAGAAUGAGGAAAUGAUUACAAAUUUUAAUCAUAAAACCAUACAAUAAAUUAGUUUUAAUAAUUGUAAGGAGAAAUUAGUAUAUAAAUUACAAGUUGGGUAUAAGAAUACAUAAAGAGAAAAAAAAAAGUAGAGAUUGUUAGGUGGAGAGAACAAGUGGUGACUGCUACUGGCGUCCUUCCCAGAAAAAAAAAAAAAACUAUUGCAAGUUGUUGAAUUUUCAACACAAUUCUAAUCUAAUUUUAUCUUUUAUAUAUGUGUGUAUAUAUUUAUGUAUUUAAUACGCAACCCUAUCCUCUUCUUAUGUUGAAUUUAAUUAAUUCAAUCAUGUACAGCCAAGCACGUUAUGCGUCGACUUCCGAGUCAAUUAAAAUAAUCAACAUUUUCUUACAUCAAUUAUUAAAAUCCUCUUUGCUUUUUUCUUUUUUGUAACAUACUUUUAUAUUUAUUUAUUAUGAAAUUCUUUGUUUUGUUUUGACAACCAUAAACAAUAUAAUAUAAAAACGUAAUAGAUGAGAUAUUAAAAACAACAAUUACAAAAAUCUAUGAAUAUAUAACAAUUCAGUCAACUUUUCAAUUCAUGAUGAAAAUAUCCAUCCCUAGUGUCAAUUUCUAAUGGGAAUCUAUUGAACAUAAUUAUGAACCAAUAAACAAACAUUUUAUUACCUUUAAAUUAAUCAAAAUUACUAUUAUAUUAAUAAAAUAGAGAUAUUGACGUUGAAACUACGAAAACAUAGAAAUAUUCAUAUAUUCAUAGAAAUAUUGAGAUGUUAAUGAAAAUUUAAUGUUAUGAAUAAGGUAUCAUAAUUCUUUCUUAGUACUCAGCAAUUACCUCAUUCCAUGUUCGAGACUUCAAUUAUAACAAUAUUUCUUCGUUGCAUUAUUGUUGACUAUUUUCUUUCCAUGUUAAAAGGAUUAAAAUAUUCGGUACUUGUUAUAAUUAACUAAGUUAAUGAAUUUUUUAACAGUAAAUAAAGAAGACAUUGUUUUUGUUUUAACUUCUUCGAAAGAGAUCAAGUCCAACAAUCUAAUUAAUGUUAAUACGAAGAAAUUAGUACUUUAUUGAAUAAGUUUGGCAGAAAGAAGAAAGGUUUUUCUAUUGGCUGCUAAAAUAAGAAUAAAUCAAUUAAAGAGAGAUAGAGAGAGAGAGAAAUUUGGUGUUUUUUUUUCUUUGCAUUUCCUGACAAAUAAAUUGAAAUUUCAAUCUAUAAAUAUGGUAAGAGUUGUUGGUAGUUAAACACCAUCACACAAGAAAGAGUAUUGCAGCAGCAGAGGCCAUGGCGUCUAACAUCAUUGCAAUUGUUUCUGUGAUACCCAAAAUCAAUGAAACGUUUCCUUCUGAUGAUACUCUCUUGCUCUUCUUUGCUAGCUCAGAUUUGGACAGAGGUAAAAAAUAAGAAAAAGAAUGCAAACUUUUUUGUUAAUUUGUGUUGUAUUGUAUAGUAUUGAUCAUAUGUUAAAAUUAAUGGAUUGGUAAUACCGUUCUUGAUCAGAUGGGCAGCAAAAACCAUUGAUCGGAGGUGUGGCAGAAUUAAUCAAGAAUGAAUCUACAGCAGAAAAGUACAAAUACGUUGCUAAAAUUCAAGUUCCAAAAGGUUUUGGAGAGAUUGGAGCUGUGAUUGUUGAAUUGAAAGACGACUCGUCUGAGAAAUUUAUCGAUACUGUUAUUGUUGCAAAUCCAACAUCUCAUAACACAAUUACGUUCAGCUGUACCUCAUGGGUUCAACCCAAAAGUCUCAUUCCUGACCAACGCAGGGUUUUCUUUUCCACGAAGGUUCGUUGGUUCAUAUAUAUAUAUAUAUAUAUUGUUGUGUAAUGAUUAUUACGAGAGAUGAUUCAAAUUAAUGAAUUGUGUUGCUAAUAAUUGAAUAUGGAAUAAUAUGAGCAGUCCUAUUUGCCCGGAGAUACGCCAGCAGGGCUGCUGAAGUUGAGAGCAGAAGAUCUCGAGAAUUUGAGAGGCCAAAAAGAAGAUGGAACAGUGGAUACAAAUGAGCGUAAGGCGUUCGAAAGGAUUUACGAUUACGACGUGUACAAUGACCUCGGAGAUCCCGACGUAGACACCAAAUGGAAAAGACCAGUUCUUGGUGGUUCAGUUCAGUAUCCUUACCCCCGACGUUGUAGAACUGGUCGUCCUGCUACCGUAUCAGGUAUGUAUAUAUACACUUCUCUUGUUUCUAUAUCAUACAUUUUCAUUAUGGAGUUUGCAAAAAUAGCAAAAAAAUUACGAUAACAGAGUCCAUCUCAAUUACUUUUUCAAAAUUGUAAAAAUAACAAAUUUUAAAAGUAGAAUAUCGUCGAUUACUGUCAUAUUUGCCAAAUUUGCAAUAUGAAAAAAAAAAUGUUAUGAGCUAUUUUUUCUAAAAAAAUUUUGUUCCUUUUCGUUAAAGUUUUUCUUUUUCAUGGUUUUUUUUUUACUUAUAUUUUCAAAUUCUCAUAGUUUACGUUUUUAGUUUAUUUUGAUUUUUAUACAUUUUGUCUUAAGUUUUUAAAAUUGGACCAACUUGAUUUCUUAAAAAUAAAAAUAUGAAUGGGAUGAAUCAUUGAAUGAAAGUUGAAAAAUAAAAAAUUUGGUAUUUUUAAAUAUAGCAAAAUAAAUAAAAAUAUUUACAAAAUAUUCCUAUCUAUUACUUACCUACACUAAUAGUAUUUAAAUUAAGAGUAAUUAUAACAAGCAACAACUUUAAAAAUAAUAAUGAAGUAUAUAGUAACAUUUUUUUAAAAAAAUUAUAAAUAUAGUCCACCAAACCAAUAUUAGAGCAACAUAGAGAUUGAUUUUGGUAUGUGGGUAACUUUUUAAAAUUUUGUUGUCCACUUACAUUAUACAUAAAAAUAAAAACUCAAAAAAUAUUUUUAAGAAUAAGAAAAUAAGAGUUGGCAUUUAGUUAAUAAUAUAAAAGAAAAUUAAACAUAUAGUUACUUGAAAUUAAAUAUAAUAAUGUUUUUGGGAAGUAAUUAACAAAUGAUACAAUUGUGGUUAGAUCCAAAGUCAGAGCAAAGAAGUACAGAAAGCUUUUAUGUUCCAAGAGAUGAAGCAUUCUCAGAAGUUAAGCAGAAAAUGUUCCCAUCAAACCCAGGGAAGAAAGAUAAGUUAGGAGCAAAGCCUUUCACCGACUUUACUCAGAUUGACUUAAUGUUCAGAGACGGCAUUGCACCUCCAUCCAAUCCACAUGAAAUUCUUCAAUUUAACAUUAUCUCCACACUUAAUGCAUCAAAUCAACCCGCCCCACCUUCUGUUCAGCCCACUCCUGUUCAACCCGACACCCCUGUAAUCAAAUUCCCACCACCUGAGGCUCUCAAAAGUAAGCACCAUACAUACACACGACAUAAACAAAACUUUUCUUUUCUUUUUCUUUUUUGUAAGCAAUUUUCAGUACAACUUAAUUAAUUCAUUUACAUCACAAUACGUAAUCCUUGUGUUUUUCCAGGAGACAAGUUCAAUUGGCUUAGUGACAGUGAAUUUGCAAGACAAACAAUUGCGGGUCUUAAUCCCUAUUGUAUACAGUUGGUCAAGGUGAGUGACAGACUAACAAUAAUCAAUAAAUAUAUAUCAAACUACCCUUACCCACUAGCUUUAAUUAAAACCAAGUCAAAUAUUAGGGAUUUAAGACAGAUAUUUUUAAUCUGCUCUCUAUAGUAUAUAUGAAAUUAUAGCUUAAUUAUUUUGUAUGAAUAAAUUC
Molecule: long non-coding RNA, 16194 nt
Filed under: Cucumis sativus (cucumber)
Lineage: Eukaryota; Viridiplantae; Streptophyta; Magnoliopsida; Cucurbitales; Cucurbitaceae
Description: long non-coding RNA (CSAT_LNC001579)
Source: RNAcentral